Molecule: ribosomal RNA, 253 nt
Filed under: uncultured bacterium
Lineage: Bacteria
Description: partial 16S ribosomal RNA
Rfam family: Bacterial small subunit ribosomal RNA
Source: RNAcentral
UACGUAGGUGGCAAGCGUUGUCCGGAAUUAUUGGGCGUAAAGCGCGCGCAGGCGGUCCUUUAAGUCUGAUGUGAAAGCCCACGGCUCAACCGUGGAGGGUCAUUGGAAACUGGGGGACUUGAGUACAGAAGAGAAGAAUGGAAUUCCACGUGUAGCGGUGAAAUGCGUAGAGAUGUGGAGGAACACCAGUGGCGAAGGCGACUCUUUGGUCUGUAACUGACGCUGAGGCGCGAAAGCGUGGGGAGCAAACAGG